GUCCCCAUAGUUCAAUGGAUAGAACAGCGGUUUCCUAAACCGCGGAUCCCAGUUCGAUUCUGGGUGGGGGCGCCA
RNAcentral lists this transfer RNA (75 nucleotides) under Puniceicoccales bacterium. RNAcentral's name for it is "tRNA-Arg". It matches the Rfam family "tRNA". Rfam says of the family: Transfer RNA (tRNA) molecules are approximately 80 nucleotides in length. Their secondary structure includes four short double-helical elements and three loops (D, anti-codon, and T loops). The record is from RNAcentral. Lineage: Bacteria; Pseudomonadati; Verrucomicrobiota; Opitutia; Puniceicoccales.